AGCAGUAGCCGCGGGAAUACGUAGGUGGCAAGCGUUGUCCGGAAUUAUUGGGCGUAAAGGGCUCGCAGGCGGUUUCUUAAGUCUGAUGUGAAAGCCCCCGGCUCAACCGGGGAGGGUCAUUGUAAACUGGGAAACUUGAGUGCAGAAGAGGAGAGUGGAAUUCCACGUGCAGCGGUGAAAUGCGUAGAGAUGUGGAGGAACACCAGUGGCGAAGGCGACUCUCUGGUCUGUAACUGACGCUGAGGAGCGAAAGCGUGGGGAGCGAACAGGAUUAGAUACCCCCGUAGUCCCUGUCUCUUAUAC
RNAcentral lists this ribosomal RNA (303 nucleotides) under uncultured bacterium. Its description in RNAcentral is "partial 16S ribosomal RNA". It matches the Rfam family "Bacterial small subunit ribosomal RNA", at positions 507 to 807 of the family's 1533-position model. The record is from RNAcentral.